AACCCACUUGGAAUGUUUCAUCAAAUUAGCAUCGCUGUGAACGAUGUCUCUUAUGGUACCUCGUUAUUCUGUUGAAUCGAGUGUCUCACCCAUGAUCUAUCUUGGCUGAAUGGUCUGACUGAAUCGACAAUCAAUGUGUAGUUAUUCAUGAGGCAAGGUUAUUUCCAGGUUAACCUGUGUUGACUCGCCUUUUUGAAGUGGUUUGGAAUGUGUUUGUCCAGUCGUGGCUACCUUCUCCCCCACACUCCCGGCUCUGAGCAAACUGAGGCUCCCUUUGUUUUGGUCCAUCCUUAUUGAUCCUUCUACCCCAGUCGAGAGUGACCCUGUCGGCACUGUGGGUACAAUGUGGGAAUUCUGUGGAAUAUUUGGUAUGCUUGGAUUCCAUGUGGUUCCUCUGCCAGUUGGCGGCCAGGCUGACUGGCACCAUGCCUGGAUGUGUACAGACAUUAGCCGUAACCAUGGGAACCGCUUGGUUGGUAGCCAGUCGGACAGGACAGGACGGCAGGCACAGGAAUCCAUGCUGUGCCAGUUUAUUCGGUAUUUAACCUGCAAAUGUUUUUGUAGCCAACAGAAUCAAGCGAGGCCAUGGUCGAUGUGGGUUGGCCGGUUUCGGGACAAUUCGUAUUGAAUACUAGAAAAGGCACAUUUUAGGAGAAGUACAUGUUUGUCCUGAAUGAUCACUAAAUACAUUGAUACUGAAACUGCCACCCUAGAUGUAAUUUUGUGAGGUUUCGAAAUCAAGGAUGGUGUUCUGUGUCUCUCGCGCUCUCUCUCUCUCUCAGCCACCCCCCCCAACUCCCGCUCCUCACCCCCAUGGAUGCGCCCAUUGGCUGCACUGGGGGGUAUUAAUUUGGGCACACCGUAACAAGCAGAGUGAGGUGAGUGGGUAAAGGUUGUCAGGCAGAGUGAGGUGGAUUGGUAAAGGUUGUCAGGCAGAGUGAGGUGGAUUGGUAAAGGUUGUCAGGCAGAGUGAGGUGGAUGGGUAAAGGUUGUCAGGCAACCAGUGUUGAUCAUGCUGAUGUCUGCAUAACAGUCCAUCCAAGUCAAUGUUACUCAUGUAUGCUGCUCAGACAUCACUGGAAAUGGAACUCCCACACAACUAAACAUAGUCGUUUUUCAACUCUGGUAUAAGAGUUAAAUUUUUUAAAGAACGGUUUACAAGAGCUAGCACCUUGUUUAAUGAUUCAACAGACUUUUUACCUUAUUGGUUUGGGAUUCAAACUCUGUUACUGUCCCAGUGCUCAACUGCUGUCUUCCUCCCUGUUCUAAUGCUCUUUGCCUCAUUCCUCUCUCAGCAAGGGUAUACUGUGGUUUAGAUGAUGUCAUCUGGAGACUAUAGAAAGUACUUUAUUUCGGUACCCAGAAGAGAGUAUGUGUCUGGCUGAGAGAGAGGAGGAAGGAGACAAGAUUUUACCCUGGACCCAGUUUUAAUUUUCCUUUCAAUCUGGAUUUAGAAAUAGCAAAUCAGAUGUCCUUUGUCAUGUUAAUAACAACACAUUCUUUGUUCCACAAGGACCCCCCUGUAAGUUUUGGGACAGUAAUACCUUUUGCUAUUUGGAGUCCUGAGAAAUGCUUGCUAAUAAAUGAAGAAAAAAAAACAACAACUGUCUGACACAUCAGGAGUGCUCUGGGAGGUUGACCGGAUUUAUCAGCCACUACCAUUGGCAGAAGACUUUACCAGCAGAACUACAGAGGCCACACUGCAAGCUACAAACUGCUUGCCUCAGAAACAAGAUGGCCUGCUAACAGUUGGCUAAAAGAGCCCUUGGCGUUGUGGAAAAAAAGAUAAUGUGGACAGCUGAGACAUCAUACAAAAGUGAUUGCAAGGCGAAAGUCCAAAGGCAACUGCCCAGGGUUUUUAUGGCUUUGCUACGUCUGGCUGUCACUGGGACCGGCCCAUUUGUCUUAAUCGAUGAUGUAACUGUUGACAGCAGCAGACUGCCUUCUAAAGCAUACAGGACCGUCUUGUUUGCUGUGGCGGACUAGCAAAUGCCUUCAAACUACUAUAAUUAAACAGUGCUUUGUUAUACCACAAGACAGUGGCCACAAACAUACUGUCAUAAAAUUUCCAAUACAUCCAGAUGAACAUGCCUUUAAUUGGCUCAAGAUGAAAGCUACAAGGCAGAAGCAACAACAGCGGAACACAGCUGCAGUAUUCAGCCGUCACCAGAGAAAACUUUCAGAGUAAAGAGCCAAAAGAUGAAAACGAUCCUUGUUAAUUAUGGAUUGCACUGUAUUUCUACAGUUUAACCUGGUUUAGGUGUGUGUAGGUGUGGAGUGUGUGAGACUGUAUCUCUGCAUGUGUCAUGGCUCAAGAUACCUCUCACUAACAAGAUUAGGCAUGGAUGGUUAGGGUGGUAGGAGGACAGUGAGGAGAGAACAGCUCAUCUGAAACAUUCAGGGAAUAGAUUAGGCUUUAGUCACAAGGAACAGGACAGAGAACAGGUGACCAGCCAGCACAGAUAUUAAUUGGCCAAGAGAGGGAUUAGUGACGCUAAACACCUUUCCCGCUGUUGUCUUUCUUGGACAAACCAAGCGACCAUCCGCAUAUCCGCAGGCCAAACAGGGAGAGAUCAAGAAGCCUGGCUUACUGCUGUUUCCCAUGACAUUGGUCUCUCUUGGGCCAACCAAACAAGCGACGACCUAGCGAAGCUCUUGAGCACUGAGUUAAAGAAGCUUCGACAAGAAGAUCGUCAACAAGCUUGACAAGAAGCUUUACAGGAAGCACAACCUGACUUGACUGAGAUCAAAGUCAAGAUGUCAAAGGACAAGCUAGAGGGUCUGGUGAAGCGCAUGGAGGUGACCCUGACUGAGAUGGAGUCCUUGAAGAUCCACUGCGGGAAGCAGAGUGAAGAACUGAACCAACUGGUGGUGGAACUCCGCAGGGAGAACCAGGAGCUGCUGGAGAAAUACAAUCAGCUGGCCCAAGAGAUGAAAGAGGCCAGGGAGAUUAUAGAACAACUACAGGACACCAAGUUUGCAUUUGACGCCAAGGAAAGACAGGCUCGUAAACUCAGCAAGCAGCUCUGAGAAGGAUUCUGGGGGAGUGGGUGAAAUGGGAGCGGGGGAAACCCUACUCGCUACGAACUGUUAACCUAAAUACAAUGGUGUGGUAAGACCUGUCGAUGUCACUUUGAAUUCAUGCUAGUUGACCAGAUAUCAGCCAGAUGUAGAGGUUGAUCUGUGCCCAGAGGAUAGGGUGAGGAAAAAGGGACUGGGUGGAUGAGGUGCUUGGGAUGAGGCAGGGCGAUGCGGCCGUCUAGGUGACUACGGUUAGGUAUUCAGUUGUUGGGUGAAACUUUGUAAAGCAUCUUGGGAAAUUGGGUUGAUUGCAUUCUGGAGGAAAAGGCCUGUUUUGUGGUUUGAGUCAGGGUUUCUAUGUAGAUGUCUUUUUCUUUCUGAAAUGUGUAGAUUGUUGUUAUCUCUGUCCGUGAAUGGAAGUGUGUGUGCGGGGGUGGUUACAUGCUUAGGGUGAGUGUGUGGACAGUGACAAGGAGGGAUUACAAGUUAUGUGAUGUGACCUUUACUCCCCCCCCCCCCCCCCCCCCCCCCAAAGAUCUUCCUGAGCCCUGAGAUCUCAAGUCCUUAACUGCUAAACUGGACCAGAGAAAAUCUUUAGCUUCUAUCCAAUUACUUAACUUCAGUGUUUGACUAGGUGGUAUAGUGUUCACAGGGUGAAAACAGCAUCUGAUACUGGAUUGGAUAAUUCUGUUCUCCCUGGGACGUGGGCAUGUGAGAACUGGCCCAUUGGGAAGUGCUUAAGAAUCUGGACCUCAAAGCAAGUUCCGCUGAUUAUUUUCAGUUCUUUUUUUCAUUGUUUGUUCUAUUUCAUAAGGGACUGAAAUCAAAUGUAGGUAAUCAAAUGUAGGUGCAUUUGAUUACCAGCUAAAACAGAAAAUCAGCAGUACCACUAGAAUUGGAUUUGUAUAUCCCUGUUUUGUAUAACACAGUACUUGAGAUUGCAAUCAGAUGAGCCCUCUACACAACCUGUUCCUCUGUACAAAACUGCUGGCACAAUGAGAAGAUCAGGACACACCUGACUGUUGCAAAGGAGCCAUUCACUGAUGGGCAUUGGGCCCGGCCCAGGAGCUGCUGUCCUUUAUUCAUAUUCAUUUGGGCACGCAUACACUUGUUGGAUACACAGGAUGGACGUUUUUCACAAUGGACAAUGGAGCUCUUGGGUGAUGUUUCUAUUAGAUACAGAUCUAGGGUCAGUUUCCGCUAAGUACAGAUCUAGGAUCAGAUUCCGCUAGGUACAGAUCUAGGAUCAGUUUCCGCUAGGUACAGAUCUAGGGUCAGUUUCCUUUAGGUACAGAUCUAGUAUCAGAGUCCACUAGGUACAGAUCAUUUGUUGCACUCUCUGACUUAAUGCCCAUCCCCCACCAUGCUACUCUGCCUGUGGUUAACCUAGUCUAGCAAGUGUUCAAAGAAACGCCUGAAAUGAGAUCCUUCACGUAAUGUUUUUCCAUUAUGGGUUGGGUUCUCUUCUGCGCAAACCAUCCAGUGAACGUGGACGACGAGCAAAUAAGGAGUGCCACCCUUUUAACAUCCAAAGGCAGAAAUCUUUUUCCACAGGCUCUCUAUCCGUUUUCCUGAAAACCGGAACUUCCAAUUGCAGGAGACAUUGUGGAGGGUGGACUAUCAUGCUGCCAAGGCAUGGGGAGAACCUUCUUCUGGUCUGACCUGGCCUCUCACAGAAGGAAUAAAGACAUUUACAUUCAAGUACUCUAGCAGACACUCCAACAGAGGUAUUUUCAGUAAUGAUUCCUGCCCAGCAUCCUGGCAUUUCAAGCGCCAUGCACUAUCAACUGAGCAAUGUAGAAACAUAUUAUUUUGCUACAUUUCCUACUUUCAUGUCCCAAAAAGUGCAUCACAUUCCAAGAGUUUAUGAUAAAGUUAACGAUUUCACCAAAAUGUAAUUGUGACUUUUAAAUAAACUCCUUGAUGAUUAUGUGACAAUCUUUCUUGAGAGUUUUUCUUCUCACACUAUUAAUGCUGAGGGAGGAAUUCUGUUGUGGUCUCAAUACAUCCCAAUCUUCAACUCGCCUGCAUGUGCUAGGGAGUUACCGCGUAAAUGC
This is a long non-coding RNA of Esox lucius (northern pike), 5078 nucleotides long. Lineage: Eukaryota; Metazoa; Chordata; Actinopteri; Esociformes; Esocidae. The record is from Ensembl.